UCUUUAUCCGCUCAAAACGCUAUACAGCGAACGAGAAGGCGCUAGGAGCAAAGGAAAGUGGUUUUUCUAACAAACUCAUAUAAUCAAGUGCACGACGUACUCCAAUUUGAUUUUUUUCACAUAGUUAGACAUAAUAUAGUACUAUGAAAUGUUUCUGACCCAAAAUAUUACGAAAUAUGAUUGUUUACAUUAAAAUGCAAAAGUUGAUGAAAAAGUAUGAUAAGGUGAAAAAAGUGACAUUUUAUGUCUAGAAAGUGACUUUUCAUCAAAAGUACAAUAACAAAACUAGUUCCCAUUCAUCCUGUGUCUCCAUGCACACUAGUGCUCUUUAUCCGCUCAAAACGCUAUAGAGCGAACGAGAAGGCGCUAGGAGCAAAGGAAAGCGGUUUUUCUAACAAACUCAUGUAAUCAAUUGCCCGACCUACUCCAAUAUGAUUUUUUUCACAUAGUUAGACAUAAUAUAGUACUAUGAAAUGUUUCUGACCCAAAAUAUUACGAAAUAUGAUUGUUUACAUUAAAAUGCAAAAGUUGAUGAAAAAGUAUGAUAAGGUGAAAAAAGUGACAUUUUAUGUCUAGAAAGUGACUUUUCAUCAAAAGUACAAUAACAAAACUAGUUCCCAUUCAUCCUGUGUCUCCAUGCACACUUGUGCUCUUUAUCCGCUCAAAACGCUAUACAGCGAACGAGAAGGCGCUAGGAGCAAAGGAAAGUGGUUUUUCUAACAAACUCAUAUAAUCAAUUGCCCGACGUACUCCAAUUUGAUUUUUUCACAUAGUUAGACAUAAUAUAGUACUAUGAAAUGUUUCUGACCCAAAAUAUUACGAAAUAUGAUUGUUUACAUUAAAAUGCAAAAGUUGAUGAAAAAGUAUGAUAAGGUGAAAAAAGUGACAUUUUAUGUCUAGAAAGUCACUUUUCAUCAAAAGUACAAUAACAAAACUAGUUCCCAUUCAUGCUGUGUCC
Long non-coding RNA from Ictalurus punctatus (channel catfish), 958 nucleotides. Lineage: Eukaryota; Metazoa; Chordata; Actinopteri; Siluriformes; Ictaluridae. The record is from Ensembl.